Molecule: small nucleolar RNA, 91 nt
Organism: Nymphaea colorata (pocket water lily)
Lineage: Eukaryota; Viridiplantae; Streptophyta; Magnoliopsida; Nymphaeales; Nymphaeaceae
Source: RefSeq, a predicted model, not a curated record
GGCAGCUGCAAGGAUGAUUCAUUUAAUCCCAGCUCAUUAUGAGACCUUAGAAAGGUCUGGGAUAUGCCAUUAUAAUUUAAUCUGAGCUGCG